This 1217-nucleotide long non-coding RNA is filed under the name Homo sapiens (human). Its description in RNAcentral is "non-protein coding LINC01535:18". Lineage: Eukaryota; Metazoa; Chordata; Mammalia; Primates; Hominidae. The record is from RNAcentral.
AGAUGCCAUCCAGGCGCACGGCGGGUAUAGUGGUUCCGCAACCUUGGGAUGUUCGGCUGAGCGCCUGCCUAACAUGGGAGCGCCUGCCUAACCCUCCUGACUGGAGGGUCAGCGGCGGGGAGUCCUGGCCUUCAAUCGGCCAUCGCCACGGCAGAAACUGGGGCCCGGGCUGCGUCCAGGCCCUUCCCCGUCCGUCCACAGGUCUCAUGGGCGCCCGGACUGGGGCUGAUGUAGUUUCCCGACCUCUGACACAUAGGAUCUGGAGAUUAAAGGUAUAAAAACGGGGACUUUUCAGCCCACUCAAGUAAAACACCCUUUUAUUUUUCGGCAGGUGUUUUGUUGCAGAAUGCCCUGAGGGGAGGGAGUGACUGCUGGGUUUCGGUUUAUAAAAUAAAAUAAACUCCUGAUUUAGAUUAUGUUUAAUAUGGCUCCCCAACCUUUAAAAAUCCCACUUUUUGCCAGUUGUAUUAUUUAGUGGGAUGUUGAAGGGGGGGGCCUGCGCCUCCACACCUGUGGGCGUUUCUCCUCAGGUGGGAUGAAAGACUGAGAAAAGAAAAAGACACAGAGACAAAGUAUACAGAAAGAAAAGUGGGCCCAGGGGACCAGCGCUCAGCAUAUGGAGGACAGUAGGGUAAUAGUGGGGAGAGGGUCAGCAGGAAAACAUGUGAACAAAGGUCUGUCAUAAACAAGGUUAAGAAAAGGUGCUGUGCUUUGGUGUGCGCGUACGCAAACAUCUCGGUGCAUUAAAGAGCAGUAUUGCUGCCAGCGUGUCUCACCUCCAGCCUUAAGGCAGUUUUCACCUAUCUCAGUAAAUAGAACAUACAAUCGGGUUUUACACGGAGACAUUCCAUUGCCCAGGGAUGAGCAGGAGACAGAUGCCUUCCUCUUACCUCAACUGCAAAGAUGCCCUCCUCUUUCACUAAUCCUCCUCAGCACAGACCCUUUAUGGGUGUCCGGCUGGGGGAUGGUCAGGUCUUUCCCUUUGCUCUGUUACCAGGCUGGAGUGCAGUGGCACAAUCUCCACUCACUGCAAUUUCUACCUCCCAGAUUCAAGUGAUUCUCUUACUUCAGCCUCCUGAGUAGCUGGGAUUACAGGCGCGUGUCACCACGCCCAGCUAAUUUUUGUAUUUUUAGUAGAGAUGGGGUUUCACCAUGUUGGCCAGGAUGAUCUCGAUCUCUUGACCUCAUGAUUUGCCCGCCUCGGCCUCCCAAAGUGG